RNAcentral lists this ribosomal RNA (142 nucleotides) under Armillaria sp. 2 TG-2016. RNAcentral describes it as "partial large subunit ribosomal RNA". It matches the Rfam family "Eukaryotic large subunit ribosomal RNA", at positions 1 to 141 of the family's 3401-position model. The record is from RNAcentral. Lineage: Eukaryota; Fungi; Basidiomycota; Agaricomycetes; Agaricales; Physalacriaceae.
UUGACCUCAAAUCAGGUAGGACUACCCGCUGAACUUAAGCAUAUCAAUAAGCGGAGGAAAAGAAACUAACAAGGAUUCCCCUAGUAACUGCGAGUGAAGAGGGAAAAGCUCAAAUUUAAAAUCUGGCAGCUUCGCUGUCCGA